CAGCCACAACAGCCCGCUGGCUCGCACGGGGUGCUCUUCACCGAGUGUCCCGCGUGGCCGGCAGAGUUUACUUUGAAAAAAUUAGAGUGCUCAAAGCAGGCUACACUGACGGCCUGAAUGCCUAUGCAUGGAAUAAUGGAAUAGGACCUCGGUUCUAUUUUGUCGGUUUUCUGAACCCGAGGUAAUGACUAAUAGGAACAGGCGGGGGCAUUCGUAUUGCGACGCUAGAGGUGAAAUUCUUGGACCGUCGCAAGACGAACUACUGCGAAAGCAUUUGCCAAGGAUGUUUUCAUUAAUCAAGAACGAAAGUUAGAGGUUCGAAGGCGAUCAGAUACCGCCCUAGUUCUAACCAUAAACGAUGCUGACCAGCGAUCCGCCGGCGUUAUUCCCAUGACCCGGCGGGCAGCUUCCGGGAAACCAAAGUCUUUGGGUUCCGGGGGAAGUAUGGUUGCAAAGCUGAAACUUAAAGGAAUUGACGGAAGGGCACCACCAGGAGUGGAGCCUGCGGCUUAAUUUGACUCAACACGGGGAACCUCACCAGGCCCAGACACCGGAAGGAUUGACAGAUUGAGAGCUCUUUCUCGAUUCGGUGGGUGGUGGUGCAUGGCCGUUCUUAGUUGGUGGAGCGAUUUGUCUGGUUAAUUCCGAUAAC
Molecule: ribosomal RNA, 652 nt
Filed under: Socotra pseudocardisoma
Lineage: Eukaryota; Metazoa; Arthropoda; Malacostraca; Decapoda; Potamidae
Description: SSU rRNA
Rfam family: Eukaryotic small subunit ribosomal RNA
Source: RNAcentral